UGGGGAAUUUUGGACAAUGGGGGCAACCCUGAUCCAGCCAUCCCGCGUGUGCGAUGAAGGCCUUCGGGUUGUAAAGCACUUUUGGCAGGGAAGAAACAGCCUGGGCUAAUAUCCCGGGCGACUGACGGUACCUGCAGAAUAAGCACCGGCUAACUACGUGCCAGCAGCCGCGGUAAUACGUAGGGUGCAAGCGUUAAUCGGAAUUACUGGGCGUAAAGCGUGCGCAGGCGGUUCGGAAAGAAAGGUGUGAAAUCCCAGGGCUUAACCUUGGAACUGCACUUUUAACUACCGGGCUAGAGUACGUCAGAGGGGGGUAGAAUUCCACGUGUAGCAGUGAAAUGCGUAGAGAUGUGGAGGAAUACCGAUGGCGAAGGCAGCCCCCUGGGAUGAUACUGACGCUCAUGCACGAAAGCGUGGGGAGCAAACA
RNAcentral lists this ribosomal RNA (427 nucleotides) under uncultured bacterium. RNAcentral's name for it is "bacterial SSU rRNA". It matches the Rfam family "Bacterial small subunit ribosomal RNA", at positions 355 to 774 of the family's 1533-position model. The record is from RNAcentral.